AGUGAAGCGGCAACAGCUCAAAUUUGAAAUCUGGCUUCGGCCCGAGUUGUAAUUUGCAGAGGAAGCUUUAGGCGCGGCACCAUCUGAGUCCCCUGGAACGGGGCGCCACAGAGGGUGAGAGCCCCGUAUAGAUGGACGCCUAGCCUGUGUAAAGCUCCUUCGACGAGUCGAGUAGUUUGGGAAUGCUGCUCUAAAUGGGAGGUAAAUUUCUUCUAAAGCUAAAUACCGGCCAGAGACCGAUAGCGCACAAGUAGAGUGAUCGAAAGAUGAAAAGCACUUUGAAAAGAGGGUUAAAUAGCACGUGAAAUUGUUGAAAGGGAAGCGCUUGUGACCAGACUUGCGCCGGGCGGAUCAUCCGGUGUUCUCACCGGUGCACUCCGCCCGGCUCAGGCCAGCAUCGGUUCUCGUGGGGGGACAAAGGUCCCGGGAACGUAGCUCCUCCGGGAGUGUUAUAGCCCGGGGCGUAAUGCCCUCGCGGGGACCGAGGACCGCGCUUCGGCAAGGAUGCUGGCGUAAUGGUCAUCAGCGACCCGUCUUGAAACACGGACCAAGGAGUCAAGGUUUUGCGCGAGUGUUUGGGUGUAAAACCCGCACGCGUAAUGAAAGUGAACGUAGGUGAGAGCUUCGGCGCAUCAUCGACCGAUCCUGAUGUUUUCGGAUGGAUUUGAGUAGGAGCGUUAAGCCUUGGACCCGAAAGAUGGUGAACUAUGCUUGGAUAGGGUGAAGCCAGAGGAAACUCUGGUGGAGGCUCGCAGCGGUUCUGACGUGCAAAUCGAUCGUCAAAUCUGAGCAUGGGGGCGAAAGACUAAUCGAACCAUCUAGUAGCUGGUUACCGCCGAAG
RNAcentral lists this ribosomal RNA (841 nucleotides) under Botryotrichum murorum. RNAcentral describes it as "LSU rRNA". It matches the Rfam family "Eukaryotic large subunit ribosomal RNA", at positions 92 to 966 of the family's 3401-position model. The record is from RNAcentral. Lineage: Eukaryota; Fungi; Ascomycota; Sordariomycetes; Sordariales; Chaetomiaceae.